RNAcentral lists this ribosomal RNA (492 nucleotides) under uncultured bacterium. RNAcentral's name for it is "partial 16S ribosomal RNA". It matches the Rfam family "Bacterial small subunit ribosomal RNA", at positions 28 to 507 of the family's 1533-position model. The record is from RNAcentral.
GAUGAACGCUAGCUACAGGCUUAACACAUGCAAGUCGAGGGGAAACGACAUCGAAAGCUUGCUUUUGAUGGGCGUCGACCGGCGCACGGGUGAGUAACGCGUAUCCAACCUGCCCAUCACUUGGGAAUAACCUUGCGAAAGUAAGACUAAUACCCAAUGAUAUCCCACGAAGGCAUCGGAAUGGGAUUAAAGAUUUAUCGGUGAUGGAUGGGGAUGCGUCUGAUUAGCUUGUUGGCGGGGUAACGGCCCACCAAGGCAACGAUCAGUAGGGGUUCUGAGAGGAAGGUACCCUACAUUUGAACUGAGACCCGGUCCAAAAUCCUACGGGAGGCAGGAGUGAGUAAUAUUGGUCAAGGGGGGAGAGCCUGACCCAGCCAAGUAGCGUGCAGGAAGACGGCCCUAUGAGUAGUAAACUGCUUUUAUAAGGGAAUAAAGUGGGUCACGUGUGACUUUUUGCAUGUACCUUAUGAAUAAGGACCGGCUAAUUCCGUG